This is a long non-coding RNA of Mirounga angustirostris (Northern elephant seal), 1330 nucleotides long. RefSeq lists it as uncharacterized. Lineage: Eukaryota; Metazoa; Chordata; Mammalia; Carnivora; Phocidae. The transcript has 6 exons. The record is from RefSeq and is a predicted model, not a curated record.
ACCAGGAAGGACUGACUUCUAUUGGUCCCAUCUUGAAUCACAUCCAGUUUGGAAAGAGCAGGAAAUGCUAUGUUGCACUCCUCCCCUAUUCCACCCACUAACAGUCACUGUGAUCAAAAACUGCAGGUUCCUAUCACAAAAUGGCAACAACUCUUCUCAUGUGAACAGAAAAGAGGGAAAGAGAACUACUUCCUCAGAAGAAACCAAGUCCUUUUACCAAAAGAAAUGAGAGAAAAGCACGCAUGCAGAGACUGCAGCAGUGACUUAUACUGUGACAUAGUAUGUUUUUGACACAAAAAGUACUUGUCACAAAUGCGGGAUACAAAAACAACUCUCCUAAGUGUUUUAAAGGGAGCCCGGAAAACCUAGCUUUUAUCAGUCAAUAAUACAUCUGACAUAAAUAAUGAUUGAAAACUGACAGCUACAAGAUGUGACUUGAGGUCCUUCAAAUCCCUGAAAAUGAAAAGCUAAACUCAGAUCCUCCCACGUGGAUUAAUUAUAUUUGAAAUUGUUAAUGCCACAAAAGAAGAUUAUAAGAAUAUUUCAAGAGUACCUGGGUGGCUCAGCCAGUUAAACAUCUGACUCUUGAUUUCGGCUCAGGUCAUGAUCUCAAGGUGGUCACUACACUGACUUGGUGAGGAGUUUGAGGCAGUACAGAAACCCCUGUCAUCCAAGACCCGUCAAAGGCAGAACUCCAGCACCAUAGCAAUGCAGCUGAGAGUGGUUGCCUCUGGUCUCCUCAGCUUGCCCCUUCUGGUGCGGAACCUAUACCAGAUGAGACAACUGGGGAGGAGAAGAUUAUGCUCCCAGGAUUCAAGGCCUGCCACACCUGAGACAGUGUUUCUACCCUAUGAAUGGGGGCGAGAUGGGGGUUAGACAUGGAAAAUAGCAGGCACAUGCAACGCUGAUGAUGGACAAGGAAACAACGGAGGCCACAUCAGAAUUCUGUCAUGUUUCAAUAAGGAGCCGUGUUACUGAGAAGAAUGUUACCGAAGCUUUUAUGACAUAGAUUAAUGGUUCACAGAUGUAUGUCAGAAUGUCAUAGAUUAGCAUACAUCUAUAAUAAGUAUGCUACUCUAUCAGAAAAAUACAUAUAUAUUUAAACUUAUCUUUUAGAACUGAGAACCUUUCUGCUUCUAGAUAUUCCAAAAUUCAUGUUUAAAUAUUAAGAUUAAAAUUUUCGAGGGGCGCCUGGGUGGCUCAGUUGGUUAAGUGACUGCCUUCGGCUCAGGUCAUGAUCCUGGAGUCCUGGGAUCGAGUUCCGCAUCGGGCUCCCUGCUCGGCAGGGAGUCUGCUUCUCUCUCUGACCUUCCCCCUCUCAUGCUCUCUC